RNAcentral lists this ribosomal RNA (222 nucleotides) under uncultured bacterium. RNAcentral's name for it is "partial 16S ribosomal RNA". It matches the Rfam family "Bacterial small subunit ribosomal RNA", at positions 109 to 334 of the family's 1533-position model. The record is from RNAcentral.
AGUAAUGUAUGGGGAUCUGCCUGAUGGCGGGGGAUAACUACUGGAAACGGUAGCUAAUACCGCAUAAUGUCGCAAGACCAAAGAGGGGGACCUUAGGGCCUCUUGCCAUCGGAUGUGCCCAGAUGGGAUUAGCUAGUAGGUGGGGUAACGGCUCACCUAGGCGACGAUCCCUAGCUGGUCUGAGAGGAUGACCAGCCACACUGGAACUGAGACACGGUCCAG